CCCUUAGAUGUUCUGGGCUGCACGCGCGCUACACUGAUGCGUUCAACGAGUGUAUCACCUUGCCCGAUAGGGUUGGGUAAUCUUUUGAACACGCAUCGUGAUGGGGAUAGAUUAUUGCAAUUAUUAAUCUUCAACGAGGAAUUCCUAGUAAUGAUGAAUCAUCAGUUCAUCGUGAUUACGUCCCUGCCCUUUGUACACACCGCCCGUCGCUCCUACAGAUUGAGCAGUCCGGUGAAAUCUCGGGACGGCGGCUUGGUCGCUUGCGUCCGACUGCUGAAACUUGAUUAAACCAUAUCAUUUAGAGGAAGGUGAAGUCGUAACA
Molecule: ribosomal RNA, 322 nt
Filed under: uncultured eukaryote
Lineage: Eukaryota
Description: partial 18S ribosomal RNA
Rfam family: Eukaryotic small subunit ribosomal RNA
Source: RNAcentral